Molecule: unclassified non-coding RNA, 256 nt
Filed under: plant metagenome
Description: partial contains small subunit ribosomal RNA and internal transcribed spacer 1
Rfam family: Eukaryotic small subunit ribosomal RNA (bases 1-46)
Source: RNAcentral
CAGUCGUAACAAGGUUUCCGUAGGUGAACCUGCGGAAGGAUCAUUAAAGAGAUAGGGUCUUCAUGGCCCUCGCACCCUCCAACCUUUCUGAUUGCUUAAUCAAUCUUAUUCCGUUCGGGUUGCUUUGGCCGGGGAUCCGUUCCUCGGGUCCCCCCCGGAGCGCACUAACCCUCGGGUUGGUGAGCGCCCGCCAGAGUCCAACCAAACUCUUGUAUUAAACCAGUCGUCUGAGUAUAAAAUUUUAAUUAAAUUAAAA